CUCUGCUCUUAGACCCAUCCUUUCCACUAUACUCCACAUUUCCCAAGUUAUCUUUCUGAAGCAUAGAUUGGAUCCUGUCUCUCCCACUCAGAACUCUCAAUGGCUCCCUAUCACCUACAGGACAACCUGAACUCCUCAGCAUGACUUCAAGGCCUUUCUCAGUCUUCCCCCAUCGACCUCUCAUCUUACCAUGUCCUCCCACACUGCUCGCUCCUGGCACUCCAUCUGGCGCAGAGUCCCUGGCACAGAAAGCUCCUGGACUUUGGAAAGGUGCAGCUGGAAGAGAAGGGAAGUGAUGCGCAGCCCCCUAUGAAGUCACUCCACCUUGUGACUUCCACCCUCUACCCUGCUGUCCCACAGAGCUGACCUGACAACUGCCACGGCCCCUGACCCUGACUAGAUGAACCUGGGUGGUGGGGGUGGGGGUGGGGCUGCAUUGCCAGCCCCUCAUCAUCUCAGGAAGUGAAGCCUGGGCCAGGGGCUACAGAUGCCCCAUCUCUCCAGGCUGACUUGGGGAUCUGCAGGUUACAGAGUCCCUGAUUUAACCCAGCAGAUUCUAAUGGCCAGAGUUCAGAGAAGAGAGGAAUUCCUUUGAGGCAUGCAGAACCCUUAAAGCAUGGCUCUGCCCAGGUCCAAAGACCCCUGGAGAGCCCUAUACCACAUCCUCAAGGCAGAAAGAAACUCAGGUCUCUCUUUUUCUGAAUUGGUGAGGCUCUUUUCUC
RNAcentral lists this long non-coding RNA (722 nucleotides) under Pan troglodytes (chimpanzee). RNAcentral describes it as "long non-coding RNA NONPTRT000445". Lineage: Eukaryota; Metazoa; Chordata; Mammalia; Primates; Hominidae. The record is from RNAcentral.